RNAcentral lists this long non-coding RNA (1281 nucleotides) under Equus caballus (horse). RNAcentral describes it as "lncRNA (ENSECAG00000053644.1)". The record is from RNAcentral. Lineage: Eukaryota; Metazoa; Chordata; Mammalia; Perissodactyla; Equidae.
GUAAGGCAUCACACCAAAUUUCCCUGGGGGGUGUGCGCUCCAAGAUCCGGGCCAUUCAAGGAGGAAAGAUUUCAUCGCACGUGAUGGAACAACUUUAAGUUCCAGUUUUACUCAUGGGAAGUGUUCUUGGGCAGCAUUUCCCGCUGCCGUGGAAGGGAAUAUGUGCCAUCUCAGAACACAGUUGGCAUCAGGGAGUUUGUGAGCUGUGCUCCCUGCUGCCGAGGGACUCCGCAGAUGCCGCCUGAUCUCCGCUUGGGCGUAAAAUUCCAGUUUAUCAGCACUAGAGCUACGGAAAGCCUCCUUCUGAGGGAGCUGGGCUGGAGAGGUGGGCGCCUUCCCUGCUCUUCACGAGGCAAACGGGCGGGCGGAGCAAGUCUGAUUGGGGAAAAUUGGUUCCGAGGUGAAUGCCGCCGGCAGUACGCAAGUGCAACGUGACCGCAAUUUCUUUCAGCAAGAAUGAUGCAAAUAGAGAGGAGACCAGACAGAAGAGCUGAGAGAUGCUGGGGCUCCGAUUAGCCUGAAGAGUCAAAAAAGGCUUCUGUGGUCUCUGGUAAUGGAAGCCCCUGGCCGAGAAGGAAGACAGCCUGUGGGAUGGGGUUCUUAUCUCUUCUGAACCACCGAAUCUUCUGCCUAUGGGCCCUUUUUAAAUUGAUGAAACAAAAUACAGAAGAUUGGAAAGGAAACCAAUUAUGCUGAAAUUCAGCUGUCGAAACAGCAAAACGUUUGUGAUACUGUAGUACAGAUGUGUGCUUCUUUACUAACACAUGAAAUAUUUUGAGAUAUCUGCAACAACGCUAAAGGAAAAAAAAUGUCUACGGGGACAAAGUCACGGGUACUGUGACUACAUUGCUGUGUCAUUUGCUGUCUGCCGCCGCCAUAGGAGGAAAUGCUACAUCCUAGCUAGAGGAGGGAACAUAGACUUAUUUCUCUCUCUGUUAAACCGCAGUUAACGUGUAAGUCUACCGCUUGGCUCUCGGGACCUCGACGUAUUAUACCCCAGGUCCAGGAAACUCCUCUGUAAGGAAAUGAUCUGUUGAAGGAUCUCUCUGGCUGUCGAGUGAAGAAUAGAGCACGGAUGGGGAGCAGUGGACCCAGGGAGACGGCGGGGAGAUGAUCGUGGCUGGCAACAAGGAGGUGGCAUUUAACGCUGGACUUGCCACUCCAUUAGGAAAGAAAGUCCUCAAGAGCACUCUGAGGAAUCCAGUCUGAGCAACUAGAAGAAAGGCGCUGCCAUCUGCUGAGAAGGGAGUCUGAGGCAGGAGGAGGCAGGUCCGGGUGGAC